Molecule: ribosomal RNA, 253 nt
Filed under: uncultured bacterium
Lineage: Bacteria
Description: partial 16S ribosomal RNA
Rfam family: Bacterial small subunit ribosomal RNA
Source: RNAcentral
UACGGGGGGGGCAAGCGUUGUUCGGAAUUACUGGGCGUAAAGGGCUCGUAGGCGGCCAACUAAGUCAGACGUGAAAUCCCUCGGCUUAACCGGGGAACUGCGUCUGAUACUGGAUGGCUUGAGUUCGGGAGAGGGAUGCGGAAUUCCAGGUGUAGCGGUGAAAUGCGUAGAUAUCUGGAGGAACACCGAUGGCGAAGGCGGCAUCCUGGACCGGCACUGACGCUGAGGAGCGAAAGCCAGGGGAGCAAACGGG